CCUAGUAACUGCGAGUGAAGUGGGAAAAGCUCAAAUUUAAAAUCUGGUGGCCUUUGGCCAUCCGAGUUGUAAUUUAGAGAAGCGUCUUCCGCGCUGGACCGUGCACAAGUCUCCUGGAAUGGAGCGUCAUAGAGGGUGAGAAUCCCGUCUUUGGCACGGACUCCCGGUGCUUUGCGAUGCGCUCUCGACGAGUCGAGUUGUUUGGGAAUGCAGCUCAAAAUGGGUGGUGAACUCCAUCUAAAGCUAAAUAUUGGCGAGAGACCGAUAGCGAACAAGUACCGUGAGGGAAAGAUGAAAAGCACUUUGGAAAGAGAGUGAAACAGUACGUGAAAUUGUUGAAAGGGAAACGCUUGAAGUCAGUCGCGUUGACCGAGACUCAGCCUUGUCUUGGCUUGGUGUGCUUCUCGGCUCGACGGGUCAGCAUCAAUUUUGAUCUUUAGAUAAUGGCAAGGGAAAGGUGGCACCUUUUUAGGUGUGUUAUAGUCCCGUGUCGGAUGCAAGGGUCAGGAUUGAGGAACUCAGCAUGCACCUUUGGGUGUCGGGGUCUUUGCCCACGUUAUGUGCUUAGGAUGCUGGCGUAAUGGCUUUAAACGACCCGUCUUGAAACACGGACCAAGGAGUCUAACAUGCACGCGAGUGUUCGGGUGGAAAACCCGUGCGCGUAAUGAAAGUAAAAGUUGGGACCUCUGUC
Molecule: ribosomal RNA, 691 nt
Filed under: Russula albidogrisea
Lineage: Eukaryota; Fungi; Basidiomycota; Agaricomycetes; Russulales; Russulaceae
Description: partial large subunit ribosomal RNA
Rfam family: Eukaryotic large subunit ribosomal RNA
Source: RNAcentral